UCUAGGGUGGUGAAAUGGUAGACACGCACGUCUGUUUAACGUGUGGUAAGUAACUCGCAAAGUAUUUACCGUGGAGGUUCGAAUCCUUCCCCUAGAGCCA
Molecule: transfer RNA, 100 nt
Filed under: bacterium
Lineage: Bacteria
Description: tRNA-Asn
Rfam family: tRNA
About the family: Transfer RNA (tRNA) molecules are approximately 80 nucleotides in length.
Source: RNAcentral